UACGUAGGGUGCAAGCGUUGUCCGGAAUUAUUGGGCGUAAAGAGCUCGUAGGCGGUUUGUCGCGUCUGCUGUGAAAACUCGGGGCUUAACUCCGGGCCUGCAGUGGGUACGGGCAGACUAGAGUGCGGUAGGGGAGACUGGAAUUCCUGGUGUAGCGGUGAAAUGCGUAGAGAUGUGGAGGAACACCAGUGGCGAAGGCGGCUUUCUGGUCUGUAACUGACGCUGAGGCGCGAAAGCAUGGGGAGCGAACAGG
This 253-nucleotide ribosomal RNA is filed under the name uncultured bacterium. Its description in RNAcentral is "partial 16S ribosomal RNA". It matches the Rfam family "Bacterial small subunit ribosomal RNA", at positions 524 to 776 of the family's 1533-position model. The record is from RNAcentral.